CGGGAUGUAGCGCAGUCUGGUAGCGCACCUGCUUCGGGAGCAGGGGGCCGCUGGUUCAAAUCCAGUCAUCCCGA
Molecule: transfer RNA, 74 nt
Filed under: Syntrophotalea carbinolica DSM 2380
Lineage: Bacteria; Pseudomonadati; Thermodesulfobacteriota; Desulfuromonadia; Desulfuromonadales; Syntrophotaleaceae
Description: Pelobacter carbinolicus DSM 2380 tRNA
Rfam family: tRNA
About the family: Transfer RNA (tRNA) molecules are approximately 80 nucleotides in length. Their secondary structure includes four short double-helical elements and three loops (D, anti-codon, and T loops). Further hydrogen bonds mediate the characteristic L-shaped molecular structure. tRNAs have two regions of fundamental functional importance: the anti-codon, which is responsible for specific mRNA codon recognition, and the 3' end, to which the tRNAs corresponding amino acid is attached (by aminoacyl-tRNA synthetases). tRNAs cope with the degeneracy of the genetic code in two manners: having more than one tRNA (with a specific anti-codon) for a particular amino acid; and 'wobble' base-pairing, i.e. permitting non-standard base-pairing at the 3rd anti-codon position.
Source: Rfam by way of RNAcentral